This 2799-nucleotide long non-coding RNA is filed under the name Neodiprion pinetum (white pine sawfly). RNAcentral describes it as "uncharacterized LOC124220435". Lineage: Eukaryota; Metazoa; Arthropoda; Insecta; Hymenoptera; Diprionidae. The record is from RNAcentral.
CAUGUAGUAACGCGUUGUCAGUUGCCGUUCUGAAGCGUAUUAGGCGUACCACGCGAUGCAUAUCUCUGGUUACAAAGGUUCGAUAGAAUUCAACGAGACAUACGAAGAACUGAUGGAAACUCAAGGAAAAAAAUUAACACCGAUUAAGGAUACGUUGAUAAGUUGUUGAUCAAGCUGUCAUAAAUUGCAAAUGAUAAGUGAAAAAUUGUGAAUCGUUCUCAGAAUUGAAUGAAUUACAAUUACGUAGGUAAUAGCAUGAAGUUUUUCACCUCCAAGAACCGUAAUGAUACCCGUGCCUCGCUUCUUGCCAUUUCAAGCAGGAUUUUUACCGAUUUUGAAGAAAGCUGAAAUCAAUGUAUUCAGACGUUAUUCCGAAGUAUACAUGACGAGAGUAAAUGGUUGUACGUGGUCCCGAGUUGCUACAAUUAACUCCUAAAAGGGUUCAACUAAACAAAAAAGAAAAUUUCAUCAUAUCUUCGCAGCUGUUGAUUCUACGAUGUCCUAUUUAGAGUCCAUUAAAUCGAUACUGAACGGAAAAAAUUUGUGGCUUAAAUAAUGCUAGAAUUAAUUCUUUAUUGCGCUAUAUUGACCUAAUUUUACGACAAGAAUAGAUGCGCGUAGUGUACAGUCGCUGCGACAACAGACAACGUACAGGUUGUGCCGACAAACGCACCGUCUUGCAACCCGCUGCCUGCACAUAUCUCACACAGCUACGUAAGACAACAUAAGAGUGUCGGGCUAUUUUUAAGUUUCAAACUAAAUAUUAGGAUUAACAGCGUUAAUUUUGAGUUACGCGAGUAAAAUCAAAAUUUACAACAAAAAAAUUCCUAAUUCAAGAUAUUAAUGAAAUAAAAUUUUUCUAAUUAUCAAAAUGAAGAACUGAUUCUUUACUCAAUGUUUCGAAUGAAGGGAAUGAAAACAAAUCCUAAUUUGGUUUUGGAUAAAAAAAUGAAAAAUAAUACUUAUUUCAAGGUCUUGAAGUACGAAAAGAGAAUCACUCAUAGAAAUUUUGAAAUCUAGAAAUAAACAAUUCUCAAUUGAUGCUUUAGUUCUACAUUCCGGAAGGUACGGGCUUGCCUAUCAAAGCUAAUCUAUACUUUCUAUGCAAUGGAGACUUAAAGCCCGUAAAGUUGAUGAAUAAAUAAAUGAACAAAUUAACAAAUGAAAAAAAAUACUUCCGACGAGCGGCUGUCGAACGCACGGGUUAAACUAGACCUUCAACUAAACGGACUCGUGGUCAACGCGGAAUUAUAUGUCAAAUUUUGGUACUUCUACUUUUCUUCUAGUGAAACUACCUUCAAGAACCGAAAUUAUUGUGUGUUGUCGAAACUUGAGCAGGAAAGUUACAUUCCAACUUCUUUUUGACCAAUGAUGUCGUAUAUUCGAAAGAAAAUCGUUUCCUAUUAUCAUUAUUUUUCUUUUGAUGUAUGCAUUGUUCCUCAUAAACAGUAAACAAAAUUCGAAAAAAAAAUCUCGAUCCUGUUCGGAUGUAUGCAAUUGUCCCUUCAUGCCUAAAUCACAAUAUUAUAAUCAUAAAUCUAUAUGUAUAGUUAUUGGUUUGGUACAAAUGAUGUUCGGUCACUGUAGUAGUUAUUUUUCUAGCGUUCAUUAUGUUUAUUUGAAUAAGUGAGAGUACAAAAUUCUCCCUUCAAAUCAUUCGUUACCUGAUGAUGACCGUCGCAUUGUAUUGUAUUUAAUUUUGGUUUUCACUAAUUUUCAGUAUCUUACAUUUUAUUGACUCUAAGCGUGAGUAUCGUCAAUUCUUAUCACGCUCCGAUUAGACGAAUGAAUUACUAGUUAAUAAUUCUGGGUUUCACUUGAAAAAUGAACAUUUUAUGAACAGCAUUUGACCUCAUUAUUCGAUGAUAUGAAGAAGCGGUAAAAUAUUUUGAAUCAUCAAUUUCAACGACUGUGAUUUCAAAUUUCCUUAGAACAUACAACUUAACAAUGAAUUACAUUCAACUUGUAAUAAACCUGAUUAUUCUUUUCGUAACACCUUUGUUACCUUACUAAAUCCAGCUGUCAAGGUAAAGGUCGAAAAUUGAAUAACGUAUCCAGUGGAACGACAAAGUAUGGACUUAUUUACAAUUAAAAAUUGGAUAACGUGAAUUAGAAAAAUAAAGAGUCUUUCAACAGAUGUUUCAAAGAUUUGUUAUUUCCAGAACGCGUUGAAUGAAUUCUCGACCACUACCAUUACUCUGGCAAAUCAAAAAAGAGCAAAGUAUAAUAAUAUUUAUUUUAAUUCUUUCUAAUUUAUAUUGUAGUAGUGCAAUAAAAACAACAAAGUUUAUGAUUAAAAUUAGUACAAAUAUAUUUAUUAUCAACUAUAUAGUAUUUAGGGUUUCAGAUGAAUAUAUAUAUAAUUAUGUAAUCACACUUUGUUGCUUUUUUAUUUAAAAGAAAAUAAACAAUCUUAUAUGAUUAAUCGUAAUAAACUGGGAAUAAAAGGCGCCCGUCAAGAGUUGGUUACCAGGUUCACCUCUCCGUUCAUGAUAAUCACUUUAAUCUAUUUCCUUGAUGAUAUUUCCCAUUUUAGUAUGGAUCAGUUACAUUAUGCUUUGCAAUUUAUUACAUUUAAGCAGCAACGUUCUCUCAAUAUUCUUUUUCUCGCUACAGUAAAUGAUAAUCAUUAUGCAGCCAAUGACGAGUUAUAGAUACCCAAUACGAUAUCAUGUCGAUUGUAACGUCCGUAUUUCCAGAAUUCCUAUCAGUCACCAUUCCAGGAGUGAACGAACAAGAAAAUCGAACUCAAUUUACUAUGACGAUAUAACUGUAGUAACCGAAAAAAACAGUGGGGGG